Non-coding RNA from Chrysemys picta bellii (western painted turtle), 254 nucleotides. The record is from RefSeq and is a predicted model, not a curated record. Lineage: Eukaryota; Metazoa; Chordata; Testudines; Emydidae.
UCGGGGGGGAAUCUCAGUGUCUGUCCAGCUGUCCCCUCACCUGGGAGCCCCUUUGCCCCCCUACAGCGGCUCCCCAGCAGACGAAACGACUGCCCCCCCCCAGCCAUCUCGCUGCGCUCCAAAUCCAUGACCUCUGAGCUGGAGGAGAUGGUGGAGAAAGUCUCCCCCUGGAAGAAGAGGAGUGAUUACGAGCCGGCGCUGGCCACGGAGAAGAAGAGGACGGUCUAUCAGAUGGCGCUGAGUAAGGGAGGGGA